This 542-nucleotide ribosomal RNA is filed under the name Salmonella enterica. RNAcentral describes it as "partial 23S ribosomal RNA". The record is from RNAcentral. Lineage: Bacteria; Pseudomonadati; Pseudomonadota; Gammaproteobacteria; Enterobacterales; Enterobacteriaceae.
UGCUGGAGGUAUCAGAAGUGCGAAUGCUGACAUAAGUAACGAUAAAGCGGGUGAAAAGCCCGCUCGCCGGAAGACCAAGGGUUCCUGUCCAACGUUAAUCGGGGCAGGGUGAGUCGACCCCUAAGGCGAGGCCGAAAGGCGUAGUCGAUGGGAAACGGGUUAAUAUUCCCGUACUUGGUGUUACUGCGAAGGGGGGACGGAGAAGGCUAUGUUGGCCGGGCGACGGUUGUCCCGGUUUAAGCGUGUAGGCUGGUUUUCCAGGCAAAUCCGGAAAAUCAAGGCUGAGGCGUGAUGACGAGGCACUACGGUGCUGAAGCAACAAAUGCCCUGCUUCCAGGAAAAGCCUCUAAGCAUCAGGUAACAYSAAAUCGUACCCCAAACCGACACAGGUGGUCAGGUAGAGAAUACCAAGGCGCUUGAGAGAACUCGGGUGAAGGAACUAGGCAAAAUGGUGCCGUAACUUCGGGAGAAGGCACGCUGACACGUAGGUGAAGUGAUUUACUCAUGGAGCUGAAGUCAGUCGAAGAUACCAGCUGGCUGCA